UCCGGCUUAUCACCGGCGGUUUCUUUAGAGUGCCCAACUAAAUGAUGGCAACUAAAGACGAGGGUUGCGCUCGUUGCGGGACUUAACCCAACAUCUCACGACACGAGCUGUCGACAGCCAUGCACCACCUGUCUCCGCGCCCCUUGCGGGGACCACCCAUCUCUGGGCUUAGCACGGGAUGUCAAGGCCUGGUAAGGUUCUGCGCGUUGCGUCGAAUUAAACCACAUGCUCCACCGCUUGUGCGGGCCCCCGUCAAUUCCUUUGAGUUUUGGCCUUGUGGCCGUACUCCCCAGGCGGGGCGCUUAAUGCGUUAGCUGCGGCACGGAACUCGUGGAAUGAGCCCCACACCUAGCGCCCAACGUUUACGGCAUGGACUAC
This 378-nucleotide unclassified non-coding RNA is filed under the name uncultured bacterium. RNAcentral describes it as "contains 16S-23S intergenic spacer region". The record is from RNAcentral.